This 395-nucleotide ribosomal RNA is filed under the name Allomesorhizobium alhagi. Its description in RNAcentral is "bacterial SSU rRNA". It matches the Rfam family "Bacterial small subunit ribosomal RNA", at positions 22 to 447 of the family's 1533-position model. The record is from RNAcentral. Lineage: Bacteria; Pseudomonadati; Pseudomonadota; Alphaproteobacteria; Hyphomicrobiales; Phyllobacteriaceae.
GCUCAGAACGAACGCUGGCGGCAGGCUUAACACAUGCAAGUCGAGCGCCCCGCAAGGGGAGCGGCAGACGGGUGAGUAACGCGUGGGAAUCUACCCAUCACUACGGAACAACUCCGGGAAACUGGAGCUAAUACCGUAUACGUCCUUCGGGAGAAAGAUUUAUCGGUGAUGGAUGAGCCCGCGUUGGAUUAGCUAGUUGGUGGGGUAAAGGCCUACCAAGGCGACGAUCCAUAGCUGGUCUGAGAGGAUGAUCAGCCACACUGGGACUGAGACACGGCCCAGACUCCUACGGGAGGCAGCAGUGGGGAAUAUUGGACAAUGGGCGAAAGCCUGAUCCAGCCAUGCCGCGUGAGUGAUGAAGGCCCUAGGGUUGUAAAGCUCUUUCAACGGUGAAG